RNAcentral lists this small nucleolar RNA (76 nucleotides) under Myotis lucifugus (little brown bat). RNAcentral's name for it is "Small nucleolar RNA SNORD77 (ENSMLUG00000021731.1)". The record is from RNAcentral. Lineage: Eukaryota; Metazoa; Chordata; Mammalia; Chiroptera; Vespertilionidae.
CCACAGAAAAGGCUAUGUAGGCAGUAAUGGGGACAUAGAUUGAGUUGUGAAGAUAAGUUACAUGCCUGAUGUGCAU